RNAcentral lists this ribosomal RNA (332 nucleotides) under uncultured bacterium. RNAcentral's name for it is "bacterial SSU rRNA". It matches the Rfam family "Bacterial small subunit ribosomal RNA", at positions 568 to 899 of the family's 1533-position model. The record is from RNAcentral.
UGCGUAGGCGGUGCGGUAAGUCUGUUGUGAAAUCUCCGGGCUCAACUCGGAGCCUGCAACGGAAACUGCCGUGCUGAGUAUGGGAGAGGUGAGUGGAAUUCCCGGUGUAGCAGUGAAAUGCGUAGAUAUCGGGAGGAACACCUGUGGCGAAAGCGGCUCACUGGACCAUUACUGACGCUGAUGCACGAAAGCUAGGGGAGCAAACAGGAUUAGAUACCCUGGUAGUCCUAGCCCUAAACGAUGAUCGCUUGGUGUGACAGGUACCCAAUCCUGUUGUGCCGGAGCUAACGCGUUAAGCGAUCCGCCUGGGGAGUACGGUCGCAAGGCUAGAA